GGCCCAGGUAGGUGUGGAACUAGACGCUCACCUGUCUAAUGCUGGCUAAGAAGACUGGGAUCAGAGAAUAUAAAAUAGGAAAAGUGAUAUUUUUCUUCUACAAUUCUCAUACUAGAUACUUGUAUGAGUGUGUUAGUCACUCAUGUCUGACUUUUUGUGACCCCCAUGGACUGCAGCCCUCCAGGUGCCUCUGUCCAUGGGAUUCUCCAGGCAACAAUACUGGAGUGGGUUGUCACGUUCCUUCUCCAGGGGAUCUUCCUGACCCAAGGAUUGAACCUGGGUUUCCAAGCCAGGUUUUUCUGGGUGUUGCAAGCAGAUUCUUUACCAUCUGAGGCACCAGGGAAGCAGUAUUUUUCUUAGGUAAUUCUCAGAUACUUAACCACCUAUUGAUGUUUGUGUCCUGACCCUGACAUGACUCUGUGAUGAAGAGCUAGGGACUAGGAUUACACCAAGUGGAGAGGAGCAGUAUUCCUUUGACUGGAAGGCAUUCCGUUGUGAUGCCUGAGGUCCUGUUUACCUGCUCAGAAGGUAAAGGAGGGGCAGCGAAUCUUGAGGAGGAAUCAGGAGGCUUCUGGGGGAUGGGCUGUGACUUGGGGCUUGGGAGGAAGGGAAAAACUCUGGCUGGCUGGCUGGGGACAGUGUCAGGCAGGCGGGGGCUCAGGCUGGGAUUGGAACUACCCAGGGAAGGACAGGAGACAGAGCUGGCUGGGCCAGGAAGGGAGGAGAAUGGGGCGGGUGUGUGUGUGUGUGUGUCCUGAAUACCAGGAGCUGCUGACUGUGACUUUUUGAGGUCACUUACUCCAGUGGUUCUCAAAACUAUACCUCUAAGAACACUGGGCUUUUGAGCACUUGGAUUAUAUGAAAAUAAAUUCCAGCCUUAUCUCCAAAGUAAAAACUAUAUAUAUACAUACAGUAAAUUCAUCAAUAUUCUUUCCCUUUCAAAUAUUCUUACUUGGUGACUGUUCCUGCUUCUCUCCACUAGAAUCAAGGUCAAGGAUAGAAGCUGGUCCAGCAAAAAGUUAGAUGAAUUGUCUUACAUUUAAUCAGUCAACAUUACAAAGUGUUUAUGCUACAUACAACUUCAUAACAUCCGGGUCUGAGGGCAUCUGUAAAACAGGGGGACCUCCAACCUCUCUUUCCACAGGUGGGCAAUCAGAGGGCCAGUCCACUGCGCUGGCCUGCCGGGCCUCCUGCCAUGUCCCGGGCUGAGCGCCUCUGAACCACAAGCUUCGCAGUCCUGAGCACUGACCCAAGGCCCUCCCAGGCCGUCCUGUGAACCGAAGCACAAACAUCCCCCUGGCAGGCUCAGGGCUUGGGAGGAGAUGGGAGCUGCGGGACCU
This is a long non-coding RNA of Bos taurus (domestic cattle), 1340 nucleotides long. NCBI's taxonomy places the organism in Eukaryota, Metazoa, Chordata, Mammalia, Artiodactyla, Bovidae. The record is from Ensembl.